AGAGUUUGAUCCUGGCUCAGAGUGAACGCUGGCAGCGUGGAUUAGGCAUGCAAGUCGAACGAGAUUCCUAGGGAUAGCAAUAUUCUUGGGAUGACAGUGGCGAAAGGGCGAGUAACACGUGGGCAAUCUGCCGUCAAGAUUGGGAUAACCCGCCGAAAGGUGGGCUAAUACCUGAUGUGGUCCUCCGACGCAUGUCGGGGUGAUUAAAGGUGGGGAUCGAAAGACCUGCCGCUUGAUGAGGAGCCCGCGCCCCAUCAGCUAGUUGGUGAGGUAACGGCCCACCAAGGCUUACGGGUAGCUGGUCUGAGAGGAUGGUCAGCCGCACUGGGACUGAGACACUGCCCAGACUCCUACGGGAGGCUGCAGUCGAGGAUCUUUUGCAAUGGGCGAAAGCCUGACAAAGCGACGCUGCGUGGAGGAUGAAGGCCUUCGGGUUGUAAACUCCUGUCAUCCGGGAACAAUUGUCGGCUGGUGAAUAACCGGUCGGCUUGAUGGUACCGGAAGAGGAAGCCACGGCUAACUCUGUGCCAGCAGCCGCGGUAAUACAGAGGUGGCGAGCGUUGUUCGGAUUUACUGGGCGUAAAGGGUGCGUAGGUGGUUUCGUGUGUCGGAUGUGAAAGCCCGUCGCUCAACGACGGAAAUGCAUUCGAAACUGCGGAACUGGAGUGCAGGAGGGGAGAGCGGAAUACUCGGUGUAGCGGUGAAAUGCGUUGAUAUCGAGUAGAACACCGGCGGCGUAGGCGGCUCUCUGGAAUGCAACUGACACUGAGGCACGAAAGCCAGGGGAGCAAACAGGAUUAGAUACCCUGGUAGUCCUGGCUGUAAACGGUGUGCACUUGGUGUGGGGGGAAUUAACCCCCUCUGUGCCGGAGCUAACGCGUUAAGUGCACCGCCUGGGGAGUACGGUCGCAAGAUUAAAACUCAAAGGAAUUGACGG
This 937-nucleotide ribosomal RNA is filed under the name uncultured bacterium. RNAcentral describes it as "bacterial SSU rRNA". It matches the Rfam family "Bacterial small subunit ribosomal RNA", at positions 8 to 916 of the family's 1533-position model. The record is from RNAcentral.